AUUUUGCAAAAUAAUCCUUUAGGCGUUAAUCUAAGUGAAUUACUAAUAGCAAGAGGAAAUGGCAUUGGUUGGGUGAGGAACAACCUUUGUAAUUGUAGAAUUAUGAAAAUGACUGAUUGUAUUUUUGACUAUUACAGGUAUUUUUGUGUUUUAGCUCAAAGGAGAAAUGUUUUAAUUGAAUUCUCACAUGCUGAAUGGGAGGCUGCUUCAUGAUUU
Long non-coding RNA from Dermochelys coriacea (leatherback sea turtle), 216 nucleotides. RefSeq lists it as uncharacterized. NCBI's taxonomy places the organism in Eukaryota, Metazoa, Chordata, Testudines, Dermochelyidae. The record is from RefSeq and is a predicted model, not a curated record. The transcript is spliced from 2 exons.